GAGAUCAGCAGAAGAAUAUUAGACCUCACCUUGGAGAUCAUCUCCCUGCUGAGCGGAGAGGAUUACACCAUAGUGAAGAAGACAUCGGGGGGGACUUCCAUCAUCCAUGAGUCAGGAGGGUGGAGCAGGACCCACAUCACAGAGCCUCCCCCCCUGAUACAUGAGAAGAAGAUCCUAGAACUCACCCACAAGAUGAUGGAGCUGCUGACUGGAGAGGUUCCUGUAAGGUGUCAGGAUGUGGCGGUCUAUUUCUCCAUGGAGGAGUGGGAGUAUGUAGAAGGACACAAGGAUCUGUACAAGGAGGCUAUGAUGGAGGCUCCCCUGCCUCUGACAUCACCAGG
Bufo gargarizans (Asiatic toad) is the source of this 341-nucleotide long non-coding RNA. RefSeq lists it as uncharacterized. Lineage: Eukaryota; Metazoa; Chordata; Amphibia; Anura; Bufonidae. The transcript is spliced from 3 exons. The record is from RefSeq and is a predicted model, not a curated record.